This 4179-nucleotide long non-coding RNA is filed under the name Chlamydomonas reinhardtii. RNAcentral describes it as "long non-coding RNA (CREI_LNC000707)". The record is from RNAcentral. Lineage: Eukaryota; Viridiplantae; Chlorophyta; Chlorophyceae; Chlamydomonadales; Chlamydomonadaceae.
AAGAAGGGGAGAGAAGUGCAGCGGCAGCGGCAGGGGCAGGGCCUCAGGCGACAGGGGCACGGGGCAACGGUGUGGUGAAGGGGCGCGCGGCUGGUGAGGGGCCGGUGGCGUGAGGCACGUGCCGAGCCCCGGAAGCCCACUCGCUCCCCACACGACACACCCGCACGCGUGUGUGUGUGCGCCCACGACCGCCACAUCCACCACGCACGAAUCAACCGCCCUGACCGCCAACCGUCCCAACCGUCCCAACCGCCAGGUCCGCCCCUCCUCACCUGCCGCAGGAAGUAGCGGUCGUGGCUGACGGCGAUGACGGCGCCCUGGAAGGCGCGGAUGGCCUCCUCCAGCGUCUCCUUGCUGGGGAUGUCCAGGUGGUUGGUGGGCUCGUCCAGGACCAGCAGCGUGCCCUGCGGUACGGCAGUUAGUUGGUUACGGUAGUUGAGAAGUGCCCGCGUGCAUUAGUAAGGAUAGAGGCACAGGGGUGACGUGUGUGUAAGUGUGCGGGUAGGGGGGAAGCGCAAGGACGGCGAGGGAGGGCGCAACACGGUGAUUGUGACAGCGAUGGUGCACGUGUCGGCGGUUGCCCCAGAAGUCAGCGGUACUCCGUCGGUCCGCCGCCGCUCCGUCAAGCUGCUGCUGCUGCUCGCCUGCCCCGGCCCCACCCGUCCAACCUCCCACACACACAUGCAAACACACACACACACACACACACACACACACACACACACACACACACACACACACACACACACACACACACACACACACACACACACAUGCAAACACACACACACACACACGCACACACCUGUGUGCACAUGAACUUGGCGAGCGCCAGACGCGCCUUCUCGCCGCCACUCAGCACCUUGACCUGUGUGCCAUAGUGAGAGAGUGCUUUGUGAAUGUGGGCAAAGAAGCUGGCGAAGGGGACGAGGAGUGUCAGGGGUGCGGACAAGUCAUAGUGCUCCUCAAGGCCAUUCGCCGCACAAAAACACGCCUCUAUCUACUACUCCACUAGCCAGCUGCCUCGUCCCCAAUCCCUGAGCUCGCGCGAUCUCUAUUGAUAUCGCUACCUCUCCCACGCUACCCACGCUUACAUUCCCUCAUGGUAAUCUGUCAAACUAACCUUUUUAUCCAUGGCGUUGCCGCUGAACAGCAUGCGGCCCAAAAGCGACUUGAGGUCGUUCAGCUUGGCGUCAGGCGAGGACUGUGGGGGAAGGGGGAGAGGCAGUGGGAGAGAGGGGUGGUGGAUGGCAAAGGAUGGAACGGUGAAGGGGGGAAACAAACACACAGCGCGUGGGCAAGCCUACCGAGGGCAGGUGGGAUGCGUGACUGCUAUCGCCUAGAAGGCACAACCGCGCAAGCACGCACGCAGCUGCGGGCACCACGGACACCCGCAUCCUCUUCUUCGUGUCUCAGGUCUCUUUACUGGGGCUGGCAAAACAAUCCCAUCCCUCAUCCCAUCGACACGCCACGCCAUGCCCCCCGCCCAUGCCCCCUCCCCCCUUACCUUGACCAGUGUCUCCAGCACCGUCAGCUCCAGGUCCAGCGCCUCCGCCUGGUUCUGCUCAAAGUAGUUGGGCUCGAUGUUGUGCUCGCCCAGGCGCACCGUGCCCUGCGCGUGUGUGUGUGAGUGUAUGUGUGUGUGGGGGGGGGGUUGCACUCAUGAGUGUCUAACAUGUGAAUGCGUAGGGGGAGAGGCGGCAGCGAAUGGGGUUUUGGGAGCAGGAUAUGAGGUGGUGGGGUUUGGGAUGAUGUGUGAGUUGUCCGUGGAACACCGUAACGGGUUUUGGUAACGGGUUUUGCUUUGUCCGUUGCAUCGUACGCGUGCAGCAUGCAUCGCACUGCCACGCCCCCCUAGCACAACGCCGCACCACCCGCGCACCUGCUGCGGCGCCUCGCGGCCCAUGAUGAGCCGGAGCAGCGUGGACUUGCCUGCGAGGGGAGUGGGUGGAUGUGUGGGUGUGUGGUGGCGACACGAGAAGUCAAGGACGAGAUGGAGGGCGAGAGAGUUAGACAGGAUGGCGGGUGGCGGUCGGCAUGCUAUCGUGGGUUACCGUACGUCUCUUACAUGGCUCAGCAAGCCGGCACAAAAAUUCGCCUCCUGUCCUCAACUGUCUACAUCCCCUCAACAAUACUUGCUUUUAAACACAUAUCUCAGCAGCAGUUAUCGUUUUUAUCAAACUCUCACCCGCUCCGUUGGGUCCGAUGAUGGCCACCCUGUCGCCCUUGGCGAUCUCCAGGUUAGCGUUCUUGAACAGCGGCCGGCCCGGGUAGGCGUGUGUCAGGCCCUCAAUGGACAGAACCUGCAGUGGGGGUUACAUUACAUUUCAUCAUUGGCUAUGGCGAGCGGGGGAAAGAGGCACAGUGGGGGUGCGGGGGAUUACAUCACCAGAUGGGGCGCAGGGUGGCGGCGGCGGGGUGGUACAGGGCUCCAUGGCACGGGUUUACGGGCGAGCCCCACGAAUAGCUCCCACGGCAGUGGUGGGCCGCAGCGGGUGGCGAGGCGUCAGGAAGCGGCGGCGGUGAGAGGGAGCCCGCCGUUGCGGCACCAUGCCAUGCGCCUCCCCGUUGUUUCGGUUCGUCAGGACCAUAUUGGAAGUUUGGCACUCCCGGGAACACCAGCCCUGCCCCCCGCCGGCCCUAGGGCCACACACGCCGCCGGCCCAGCCCACACCUUCUGCCCCAUCUUCUCCACGGGCGGGAAGGUGAAGGCUUUGCGCUUGGGCACGAAGGGCUUCUCGAUCAGCCCCUCCGCCUUGAUGCGCUCAAGAGUCUUCUCGGCCUGUGGGUGUGGGUAUUUGUUGUGAUGCCGAGUGCUCAGUACUACAGCUACAGCUCGUGUCGCUUGGAAAUCGUACGCUUGGGAGCCCCCCCCGCCUUGUAUUACAUGCCGCGGGUGACCGGCUUUGGCAUCGGCAUCGGCAUCGGCACGCGGGGGGGCCGUGUCCGCCCCGGCCUCCCCCACCUCCUUCCACCCCAGCUCCCACCUGCCACCCCACAUUCCUCCCCGCCCCAUUUCGUUGGGCUCGGGCACCCCCAACGCCGUCCCCCCCCCCCGCUGUACCGCUUUUCCAACCACCUUUGCAACCCCCGCCCACUCCCCCCCAUCCCAUUGCCCUGGGUUCGGUUAGUUUGGGCUGGUAUCUACGACCCCCCCCCCCCCCCCACACACACACACACACGCCCACCUGGCUGGCUCUGCCGCUCUGCGCGCCCCCUGCCAGUCGCUGCAUGAUCUCCUCCUGCUUGGCGAUCUCCUUCUGCUGCUUCUCCCACGCCGCCCACUGCAGAGCCGUCUUCUCGUUCUGCAGGGCGGAGGACGGGGGAGGGGGUUGGGGAGGUGUUGGGGAGGUGUGGGGAGGUGUUGGGGAGGUGUUGGGGAGCCGGGGUAGGUCGGGCAGCGGGCUGGGAAGAGGUAAGGCGGUUGCAGGGCCGCCGACCGCUUCAUGGCGGGCCGUUUGUGCAGCCCGAACCACUGUCUCUUCGCUUCCUCCAGGCGUCCUGCCUCGCCUGCUCCUGCCCCCCUCCCCCCCUCCCUUCCCCCUUCCCCCCUCCUCCCCCUCCCUCCCUUUCCAUCUCCCCCUCCCCCUCCCCCUCCCUGCCCUCCCUCCCUCACCUUGCUGUUGACGUACUGCGUGUAGUUGCCUGGGUAGGUUGUGGCCACGCCGCGCUCCGUCUCCACGAUCUUGGUGCACAGCUGGUCCAGGAACUCGCGGUCGUGGGACACAAUCACCAUGGGCACCUUCGGGGGAGGGGGUGGUUGCGAGGGGAGGGGCGGAGGGGAGGGGGAAGAAGAGAGUUACACUCGGGGGGUGGCACUGAUGACACGGUACACUCAUGGUACACAUGCCCAUGAGCCCAUGAUUCCCCGCUUGCCCUCCCACGCCUCCUCCCUCCUGCCUCCCACCUCGGCCCGCCUCCUCCAGCUCUCCUGCCUCCCAGCUCGUCGGCCCCGCCCCCUUCCCUCCUGACCCUCCUCCCUCCCUCCCCCCACCUCCCCCAACCUCUCCCUCCCUCACCUCCUGUUUGCGCAGGUAGCCCCCCUCCCCACCUCCUCUCCUCCCUCACCUCCUGUUUGCGCAGGUAGCCCUCCCUCCCUCCCCUCACCUCCUGUUUGCGCAGGUAGCCCUCCAGCCACUGGAUGGCGUCCAGGUCCAGGUGGUUGGUGGGCUCGUCCAG